RNAcentral lists this ribosomal RNA (115 nucleotides) under Cordylochernes scorpioides. The record is from RNAcentral. Lineage: Eukaryota; Metazoa; Arthropoda; Arachnida; Pseudoscorpiones; Chernetidae.
ACGGCCAUACCACAUUGAAAACAUCGGUUCUCGUCCGAUCACCGAAGUUAAGCAAUGUCGGGCCCGGUCAGUACUUGGGAGGGUGACCACCUGGGAACACCAGGUGCUGUAGGCU